RNAcentral lists this ribosomal RNA (427 nucleotides) under uncultured bacterium. Its description in RNAcentral is "bacterial SSU rRNA". It matches the Rfam family "Bacterial small subunit ribosomal RNA", at positions 355 to 774 of the family's 1533-position model. The record is from RNAcentral.
UAGGGAAUAUUGGACAAUGGGGGCAACCCUGAUCCAGCCAUGCCGCGUGAGUGAAGAAGGCCCUCGGGUUGUAAAGCUCUUUUGUCCGGAAAGAAAAGCUUCGGGUUAAUACCCCGGGGUUCUGACGGUACCGGAAGAAUAAGCACCGGCUAACUUCGUGCCAGCAGCCGCGGGAAUACGAAGGGUGCAAGCGUUACUCGGAAUUACUGGGCGUAAAGCGUGAGUAGGUGGUUGUUUACGUCUGAUGUGAAAGCCCUGGGCUCAACCUGGGAAUGGCAUUGGAAACUAGGCAGCUAGAGUGCGGUAGAGGGUAGUGGAAUUCCCGGUGUAGCAGUGAAAUGCGUAGAGAUCGGGAGGAACAUCUGUGGCGAAGGCGACUGCCUGGACCAGCACUGACACUGAGGCACGAAAGCGUGGGGAGCAAACA